CCAUUUGUUUGCCAUAGGAAUGUCAGUGAUAAAGAUCUUUUAAAUGGCUGUGUGUUGUUUGUUAUUCUAGGUAGAACUACUCAGCUGGAUGAUGAAAAUGGUGAAAACACACUGAAACAUGACCAAGCAGACCUUGAAGUGUACAAUACAUCAGGACAUUUUGGGAUCAUCUAAUAAACGGCAGUGCAGUUCCCAACCCCAAACAGAAGAGCAUGUGAAGCCUCAGCAACCUGAUCAGGCCACGUAGGAACUGACUGUGGUGGCACCAUGCAUGUAACUGGCCUCAACCGAGUGAUCACCCCGUAUCCUGUCCUCAUUCAGGAAAUGUCUCCAUCUGCCUUCAGUGCUAAGUUGACUUCAAUUUCCCUGCCCAUUGUCACUUUAACCAAGCAGGAGGAGGCACUGCUCCACCACCCUCCUGCCCCAGGAUCCAGACAUAGAUGCUGCUCUACUCUCUCUAACUGCAUGAGAUAGGGCAGGUUAUGGGACCUCUCUGUGCUUCAGUUUCCUCCUAGGUCAAAUGGAAGUGAAGCACCACCUUAUAAGGGUGUUGUGAACUUUAGCAUCAGUCAUGGAACAGUGCCACAUGAUCUGUCACACAGAGCCUCUGAUCGUUUUUGCACUCAGGGCAGAUUUUCAGACAUCAAAGAACUUGAAGAAUUCAGUACACGUGUUUAAGGUAGCAUUGGGGUUUAUCUGUCAGUCUCCUGUGAGUUUGGUCAGCAUGGGUCAGCGUCCUUAUGUGCUCCCUAUUUGUUCUCAUAGCCUGGUAUCUGCCAACACUAGACAUAAGCUAAGAUUUUCCACUGUAAGCGUUUUCCUCUUCCUAGGGCUGGGCUUGGGCAUGAGGUGACACAGAGCUCCGACUGUAAGAGAAGAAACACAAGGUCCAGUUUUUCGUAUGGGACAUCCCCAGGAAGCAAGACCAGAGGCAUCCUCCCCUCACCAUUCUCAUUUUACUCUCUCCUUGUCACCACCUACUGAAAGGAGCCUGGAAGAAGGGCCUGUACCCAAAACAGAAAGCAGCCCUACUCCAAAAGGAGCCCUGGGACCAUGCUGGGGGAAACUACAACAUAGCCUUUACAGCCUACCUAACGCUGUUGCGGUCAUUACAUUAGCCAAGGAAGUUCUCAUCAUGCCCAUGUGGAAGUGAAGAUUGGAGGAUCACAGAGGUUCAGAAACUUCGUCAAGAGCAUCAAGUAAGAGGCAGAGUCAGGAGUUGAACCCAGGUUUUAUGGGUAGAAUAGGGGGGUUCCAAGAUUUGGCUUUUUUUUUUCCUUCUUUUUAGCGUCACCUUUGCUCUGUGGAUGC
Molecule: long non-coding RNA, 1311 nt
Filed under: Macaca mulatta (Rhesus monkey)
Lineage: Eukaryota; Metazoa; Chordata; Mammalia; Primates; Cercopithecidae
Description: lncRNA (ENSMMUG00000056798.1)
Source: RNAcentral